RNAcentral lists this non-coding RNA (30 nucleotides) under Mus musculus (house mouse). Lineage: Eukaryota; Metazoa; Chordata; Mammalia; Rodentia; Muridae. The record is from RNAcentral.
UAAGAAGGUUAGGAACAAUGUUGUACCUCC